RNAcentral lists this ribosomal RNA (240 nucleotides) under uncultured bacterium. RNAcentral's name for it is "partial 16S ribosomal RNA". It matches the Rfam family "Bacterial small subunit ribosomal RNA", at positions 524 to 762 of the family's 1533-position model. The record is from RNAcentral.
UACAGAGGUCUCAAGCGUUGUUCGGAUUCAUUGGGCGUAAAGGGUGCGUAGGCGGCGCGGUAAGUCGGGUGUGAAAUCUCGGGGCUUAACUCCGAAACUGCAUUCGAUACUGCCGUGCUUGAGGACUGGAGAGGAGACUGGAAUUUACGGUGUAGCGGUGAAAAUGCGUAGAUAUCGUAAGGAAGACCAGUGGCGAAGGCGGGUCUCUGGACAGUUCCUGACGCUGAGGCACGAAAGGCC